Molecule: unclassified non-coding RNA, 376 nt
Filed under: Hevea brasiliensis (rubber tree)
Lineage: Eukaryota; Viridiplantae; Streptophyta; Magnoliopsida; Malpighiales; Euphorbiaceae
Source: RNAcentral
GGACAAAUAACAGGCAUCAUCACAAUUCCAGUUCUUCAAUGGUCAACAGAUCUCCGAAAUUAUCUUAUACACAUAAUUGUCAUGAUCUGCUGUAAUGGACCCACUCGACAUAAACAUUGAAAUAGUUGUUUCAUGAUGCCUCUCAAUUUGACAUGGUACAUCCCACAACCACCUUUAAGAAUUUAACGUAAUAGCUACUUCAACUCCAUUUACCAUUACAGUUAAAUCUAUGAAAGCCUUUCAUGAUAGGACACCAGUGCGAACCUACUAUCUUUUACCCUUUUCCUUUCGCCCAAGCAAAUUACGCGGAACCAUAUGAACUGAUCACACGGCAUACCAUGUGCUACUGCGUGACCCAUUGAGCCACCAUUUCCAC